GGGCACAGUAUAUACACGGGAAACAAACCCGACCACUCUGCACGAGCGAGGGGCGGCUUCGUGGCACGACCGGUCGCCUGCGUUGCGCCGGUCAUGGGCAGCGGCAGGGCCAGCCGAUGGCUGCGGGUCAAGCCGACCGCGGUAGCGGCUUAUCUUUGGGAGAGGAGGAGAGGGGAGAAAAAGGAGAGGCCUGGCGGCGACUGAGGAGGUGCUACGCGCCGCCACCUCCACCUCGACGCGCCGCCAGAUCUCCACCUCGACGCGCCACCGGUCAUCUGCAUCCACGCGCCACCGGAAACUCCGCCUUGAACUUCGGUUUUUGUGGUGUUUCCCUCCAGUUUGUCAUGAACCACAGAAGGACGCACAGGAGCAGCAUCUGGCAUUCAGAGCCUGACAGGUUUCAUGGUUGCACACAAGCGAUGGGUCAAAGGAGCCUGCGAAAUAUGUAACUAAGUGUUGUUUCUUUCUGCCAAAUCAUUUAUUCUUAAUUUCCUCAUUUCAUAUUCUCAUAAAUCAUCCUCUGAUGUUGAUUGCAAAUAGAAACAUGUUUUACAGUCUUUUAGAUUUCGGUCAUCAGAGGGAAUUUGGAUUCUUUCUCUAUCACCACACAUAGAAAUGUAUGUCAGUGCUAAUUAAAAAUGUGUAGGAAAUUGAGUUUUCUUUUAUCUGUACUGCAUUAUCAGUCUACGGCAGGGCGUCAUGGAGAAGCCAAGUUUAACCGAGAUUUCAAAAUUUUGUGGCCUUCGUUAAAUUAAAAAAAAGGUGAUUCUAUUUCUUGAAGCUCCCGACUGCUCAUGUACUAUUUCACAUUGCCAUCUUCCAUUACAAUUUCGUUCACGGUAACAUUGAGAAUCCUACAACAUUAGUGGUGUGAGAUAUUUUGUAAGUGUUAUAGUGAUGUGCAUUUUUGUAGGUUUGUAGUUUUGUGACUCCAUUUGGUUUUAUAAGUGUGAUUCACCAAUACAAUUCGAAUGUGAAUUGCUUGCAGUUUUGUAUAAGACUAUUUGGUUUGUCCUGCUAACUCCGCCACACCUCAGUUUUGGUCCUAGGUAAGCCGCUGCGUGUAUGACGGCCUAAGAUGCCAUGGCCGGCGUGGUGUGAUGGUGGUUUACAGCGGAUCAAGAUUGUUGGCAAGGACUUCCCACUGAGUAUGAGAGGCCGGUGACCAUCCGUCCAUGAUUCUUCCUCGGUAUGCCACUCUGAGGAUGUCGAGGCCUUCCCAAUGAGUAUUUCAGUUCCCGAAGUCUCUCUUUCUGAUGGCAAGACUGUCCCUUCAAACGCCAUGAGUCAAGUCUAGGAUAUGUCAGCAUGAUGCUUCCACUCCCAACAUGAGACCAGAUUCUUUUAAUUUCGGGGACUGGUGAAGCACAAACAUGCGACAUGGCUUGGAGUAGACACCAACUCCAUGGUUCCAUUCUGCAAGAUGUGGCUUGGAUUACCGUGCUGCUGAGAACAGUGGCUGCGCUUGGUUUUGAAAUUGGGAAGGUUUAAUUCAAGAUUUUUAUAUCUUCCCCCUGUUUUUGUAUGGACAAUGUGUGUGCUGUUUAUAAAAUGUUUAGUUAUGUUUGGCUGAUGAGUAUAAACUCUUUUCUCUGCAUGUUUACCAUGAAUGAUGAAACACACAUCAGUUGGCUCACUUGAGUUCCUGUGCUAACUGAUAA
This is a long non-coding RNA of Triticum dicoccoides, 1661 nucleotides long. RefSeq lists it as uncharacterized. The record is from RefSeq and is a predicted model, not a curated record. The transcript has 4 exons. Lineage: Eukaryota; Viridiplantae; Streptophyta; Magnoliopsida; Poales; Poaceae.